CGCUAAGAAGCUAAAUAGGUACAGCAUUAGCCUUUUAAGCUAAAAAUUGGUGGCUCCCAAUCACCCUUAGCGA
This 73-nucleotide transfer RNA is filed under the name Nannacara anomala (goldeneye cichlid). RNAcentral describes it as "tRNA-Lys". It matches the Rfam family "tRNA". From Rfam's summary of the family: Transfer RNA (tRNA) molecules are approximately 80 nucleotides in length. Their secondary structure includes four short double-helical elements and three loops (D, anti-codon, and T loops). The record is from RNAcentral. Lineage: Eukaryota; Metazoa; Chordata; Actinopteri; Cichliformes; Cichlidae.